Molecule: long non-coding RNA, 396 nt
Filed under: Helianthus annuus (common sunflower)
Lineage: Eukaryota; Viridiplantae; Streptophyta; Magnoliopsida; Asterales; Asteraceae
Description: hypothetical non coding rna
Source: RNAcentral
GUAGUGGAUAUAGAUCUGACCAGAGCUCCCACUUGCACUAAUUGAUCAUUAUCGGAUAGUCUACUUGUGCUGAAGCUCCUAGUUGGCGUUGACUUUUGUGGUCGAGAAAGGCCUGUUGUAGGUACUGGAGAAAUUGUUGACUCCUUUCACGUAUAGAUCUAGGGCUUUGGAUAUAAAUCUUACGGGUGUUUUCAUGAUCGUACCUAUGGUAACUGGCUUUUUGUGACACAUUUUUUGACUCCUCAUGAUCUUGCUCCUGAUUUAAGUUUUUUUUCGAGGAAUGUUUGAAUGAGAAGAAGGAAGCGAUACACAGUUAUAUAUAGGGAGCAAGUACUCGUUUUUUUAAUCCUAUUCACGUGGACAAUUUUGACUAUUCCGAUGUACGAGAACACAUAG